UACGUAGGGUCCGAGCGUUGUCCGGAAUUAUUGGGCGUAAAGAGCUCGUAGGCGGUUUGUCGCGUCUGCUGUGAAAUCCCGAGGCUCAACCUCGGGCCUGCAGUGGGUACGGGCAGACUGGAGUGCGGUAGGGGAGAAUGGAAUUCCUGGUGUAGCGGUGGAAUGCGCAGAUAUCAGGAGGAACACCGAUGGCGAAGGCAGUUCUCUGGGCCGUAACUGACGCUGAGGAGCGAAAGCGUGGGUAGCGAACAGG
Molecule: ribosomal RNA, 253 nt
Filed under: uncultured bacterium
Lineage: Bacteria
Description: partial 16S ribosomal RNA
Rfam family: Bacterial small subunit ribosomal RNA
Source: RNAcentral